RNAcentral lists this ribosomal RNA (301 nucleotides) under uncultured bacterium. Its description in RNAcentral is "partial 16S ribosomal RNA". It matches the Rfam family "Bacterial small subunit ribosomal RNA", at positions 509 to 807 of the family's 1533-position model. The record is from RNAcentral.
CAGUAGCCGCGGUAAUACAGAGGGUGCGAGCGUUAAUCGGAUUUACUGGGCGUAAAGCGUGCGUAGGCGGCUAAUUGAGUCGGAUGUGAAAUCCCCGAGCUUAACUUGGGAAUUGCAUUUGAUACUGGUUAGCUAGAGUGUGGGAGAGGAUGGUAGAAUUCCAGGUGUAGCGGUGAAAUGCGUAGAGAUCUGGAGGAAUACCGAUGGCGAAGGCAGCCAUCUGGCCUAAUACUGACGCUGAGGUACGAAAGCAUGGGGAGCAAACAGGAUUAGAUACCCGUGUAGUCCCUGUCUCUUAUAC